UUUGUACCAGAUGCUUUAUUU
Molecule: microRNA, 21 nt
Filed under: Monodelphis domestica (gray short-tailed opossum)
Lineage: Eukaryota; Metazoa; Chordata; Mammalia; Didelphimorphia; Didelphidae
Description: mdo-miR-7371e-5p
Source: miRBase by way of RNAcentral